RNAcentral lists this unclassified non-coding RNA (275 nucleotides) under Hevea brasiliensis (rubber tree). Lineage: Eukaryota; Viridiplantae; Streptophyta; Magnoliopsida; Malpighiales; Euphorbiaceae. The record is from RNAcentral.
AGAAUAUGAUGCACUCAAAGGUUUAUCUUUCUUUCUCUUGGGUUCCCCCCAAUAAAUACAUUUGUAUUACCUCAAUACUAUUGAUUUCUUUGUGUUAAUGAUUUAUAUAUGGACUGAUACUAAUGGAUUCAUUGUCAAUAAGAUGGUCUAUUCAAGAGGAAUCUGUAUGCUCCUCUUCAAUAACAUGUCCCUUCCCUGUUUUUCUUUCUAACUAUAAUACAUCCUGCAUUAAAUUUUGUGCAUUUAGUAAAUUUAUGGUGAUGAAAAUUUCAAGG